This 1386-nucleotide ribosomal RNA is filed under the name uncultured bacterium. RNAcentral describes it as "bacterial SSU rRNA". It matches the Rfam family "Bacterial small subunit ribosomal RNA". The record is from RNAcentral.
AGAGUUUGAUCCUGGCUCAGGAUGAACGCUGGCGGCGUGCUUAACACAUGCAAGUCGAACGAAGCACCUUAUUCUGAUUUCUUCGGAAUGAAAAAUUUGGUGACUGAGUGGCGGACGGGUGAGUAACGCGUGGGUAACCUGCCUCAUACAGGGGGAUAACAGUUAGAAAUGACUGCUAAUACCGCAUAAGACCACAGCACCGCAUGGUGCAGGGGUAAAAACUCCGGUGGUAUGAGAUGGACCCGCGUCUGAUUAGGUAGUUGGUGGGGUAACGGCCUACCAAGCCGACGAUCAGUAGCCGACCUGAGAGGGCGACCGGCCACAUUGGGACUGAGACACGGCCCAAACUCCUACGGGAGGCAGCAGUGGGGAAUAUUGCACAAUGGGGGAAACCCUGAUGCAGCGACGCCGCGUGAGCGAUGAAGUAUUUCGGUAUGUAAAGCUCUAUCAGCAGGGAAGAAAAUGACGGUACCUGACUAAGAAGCACCGGCUAAAUACGUGCCAGCAGCCGCGGUAAUACGUAUGGUGCAAGCGUUAUCCGGAUUUACUGGGUGUAAAGGGAGCGUAGACGGAGUGGCAAGUCUGAUGUGAAAACCCGGGGCUCAACCCCGGGACUGCAUUGGAAACUGUCAAUCUAGAGUACCGGAGAGGUAAGCGGAAUUCCUAGUGUAGCGGUGAAAUGCGUAGAUAUCGGGAGGAACACCAGUGGCGAAGGCGACCUACUGGGCACCAACUGACGCUGAGGCUCGAAAGCAUGGGUAGCAAACAGGAUUAGAUACCCUGGUAGUCCAUGCCGUAAACGAUGAUUACUAGGUGUUGGAGGAUUGACCCCUUCAGUGCCGCAGUUAACACAAUAAGUAAUCCACCUGGGGAGUACGACCGCAAGGUUGAAACUCAAAGGAAUUGACGGGGGCCCGCACAAGCAGUGGAGUAUGUGGUUUAAUUCGAAGCAACGCGAAGAACCUUACCAGGUCUUGACAUCCGAUGCUUAGCUUAGAGAUAAGUGAAGUCCUUCGGGACAUCGAGACAGGUGGUGCAUGGUUGUCGUCAGCUCGUGUCGUGAGAUGUUGGGUUAAGUCCCGCAACGAGCGCAACCCUUAUUGCCAGUUACUACGAAAGAGGACUCUGGCGAGACUGCCGUUGACAAAACGGAGGAAGGUGGGGAUGACGUCAAAUCAUCAUGCCCUUUAUGACCUGGGCUACACACGUACUACAAUGGCGUUUAACAAAGAGAAGCAAGACCGCGAGGUGGAGCAAAACUCAAAAACAACGUCUCAGUUCAGAUUGCAGGCUGCAACUCGCCUGCAUGAAGUCGGAAUUGCUAGUAAUCGCGGAUCAGCAUGCCGCGGUGAAUACGUUCCCGGGCCUUGCACACACCGCCCGUCA